CCUACAAUCAGAGAUAGAAAAAGCUGUC
RNAcentral lists this non-coding RNA (28 nucleotides) under Bombyx mori (domestic silkworm). The record is from RNAcentral. Lineage: Eukaryota; Metazoa; Arthropoda; Insecta; Lepidoptera; Bombycidae.